GGGGCCCAGGAAAGCCUGUUUAGGCUACCCCAUUUAAGUGAGGAAAAGUGUAUUUAUUUAAUUCUUUUUCCUUUCCCUUUUAUUUUCCUCAUCCGCCGAACUCGUGAUUGUUUUCCUUUCCCCAAUCGUCGUUUACUCUCCCUCACUCCCGAUUUCCUUGCGACGUCGAAGCCCGAACUGCUGCGGCGGUUUCCUCUCCUUCCCCUCGCUUCUCUGCCUCGAGCCCGAGCCACAUUGCCGAGAUCUUUCCCCUUUGUGUCGUCUGCCCUAGUCGCCUUGCACGCCACCACAGCCGAUGCCGCCGAGGUAGUGUCGACCCGCCGUCGCCGACCCCGAUCCACUGUCGGUUGAGGGUUUCUGCCACUCCUCAGCCUUACCGUCGGCCCUUCUCCUCUUUCGAGCGUCGGCCACCGACCAAACUCCUAUGCCCUAGACCUGCCGAAGCUCUCCAAGACGGUGCCCUACCUGGUUUGUUUCGGCGCCACCGGGUCAAAUCGGAUGCCACCACUGAUCGCCGGAGUGGAAGGGUUAUCCGGACUGCAAGGGUGUUCUGCCGAGCCACAACCAGUCUCUGUUGUGUUUGCUGCCACCACCAGAGAAGAGGAAAUUAGGGAAGAAUUCAGCAGAGAGGACGUUCUGUUCCAUUCUGUUGAGAUCUGUGGAUUUGCUUGGUUCCAGCAUCAACAGUAGGUUGUUUGCUGUGGAAAGUUGCUGUUGUCGAUCACCACUUCCUCCUUCUUGAUCUGGUUGAUUUGAGGACAUUGACGCGAGACGAGUAUCUCGACGUCCGGAUCUGGAUUGAUUGGACCAUUUCUUU
Molecule: long non-coding RNA, 817 nt
Organism: Zingiber officinale
Lineage: Eukaryota; Viridiplantae; Streptophyta; Magnoliopsida; Zingiberales; Zingiberaceae
Exons: 3
Source: RefSeq, a predicted model, not a curated record